AGUGAACGCUGGCGGCAGGCCUAACACAUGCAAGUCGAGCGGCAGCGGGUUCCCGCGAGGGGAUGCCGGCGAGCGGCAGACGGGUGAGGAACACAUCGGAAUCUGCCUGGUUGUGGGGGAUAACGUAGGGAAACUUACGCUAAUACCGCAUGAGACCCUGAGUCGACGGACUGGGGGUGAAAGUGAGGGACCUUCGGGCCUCACGCGACCAGAUGAGCCGAUGUCGGAUUAGCUAGUUGGCGGGGUAACGGCCCGCCAAGGCGACGAUCCGUAGCUGGUCUGAGAGGAUGAUCAGCCACACUGGGACUGAGACACGGCCCAGACUCCUACGGGAGGCAGCAGUGGGGAAUCUUGGACAAUGGGCGCAAGCCUGAUCCAGCCAUG
This 384-nucleotide ribosomal RNA is filed under the name uncultured bacterium. Its description in RNAcentral is "bacterial SSU rRNA". It matches the Rfam family "Bacterial small subunit ribosomal RNA", at positions 30 to 396 of the family's 1533-position model. The record is from RNAcentral.